UUGGAGGGCAAGUCUGGUGCCAGCAGCCGCGGUAAUUCCAGCUCCAAUAGCGUAUAUUAAAGUUGUUGCAGUUAAAAAGCUCGUAGUUGAAUUUCGGGGUCAGUAGGUUGGUCAUGCCACUGGUAUGUACUGGUCUCACUGAUUCCUCCUUCCUGAUGAACUGUAAUGCCAUUAAUUUGGUGUUGCAGGGAAUCUGGACUGUUACUUUGAAAAAAUUAGAGUGUUUAAAGCAGGCUAACGCCUGAAUACAUUAGCAUGGAAUAAUGAAAUAGGACGUUUGAUUCUAUUUUGUUGGUUUCUAGGAUCGACGUAAUGAUUAAUAGGGAUAGUUGGGGGCAUUAGUAUUCAAUUGUCAGAGGUGAAAUUCUUGGAUUUAUUGAAGACUAACUGCUGCGAAAGCAUUUGCCAAGGAUGUUUUCAUUAAUCAAGAACGAAAGUUAGGGGAUCGAAGACGAUCAGAUACCGUCGUAGUCUUAACCAUAAACUAUGCCGACUAGGGAUCGGAUGAUGUUGAUUUUAUAAUGACUCAUUCGGCGCCUUACGGGAAAC
RNAcentral lists this ribosomal RNA (549 nucleotides) under uncultured Rhizophagus. RNAcentral's name for it is "SSU rRNA". It matches the Rfam family "Eukaryotic small subunit ribosomal RNA", at positions 548 to 1098 of the family's 1831-position model. Lineage: Eukaryota; Fungi; Glomeromycota; Glomeromycetes; Glomerales; Glomeraceae. The record is from RNAcentral.